AUUGAACGCUGGCGGAAUGCUUUACACAUGCAAGUCGAACGGCAGCACGGACUUCGGUCUGGCGGCGAGUGGCGAACGGGUGAGUAAUGUAUCGGAACGUGCCCAGUCGUGGGGGAUAACGUAGUGAAAAUUACGCUAAUACCGCAUACGAUCUAUGGAUGAAAGCGGGGGAUCGCAAGACCUCGCGCGAUUGGAGCGGCCGAAAUCAGAUUAGGUAGUUGGUGGGGUAAAGGCCCACCAAGCCAACGAUCUGUAGCUGGUCUGAGAGGACGACCAGCCACACUGGAACUGAGACACGGUCCAGACUCCUACGGGAGGCAGCAGUGGGGAAUUUUGGACAAUGGGCGAAAGCCUGAUCCAGCCAUUCCGCGUGCAGGAUGAAGGCCCUCGGGUUGUAAACUGCUUUUGUACAGAACGAAAAGGUUUCUACUAAUACUAGGAGCUCAUGACGGUACUGUAAGAAUAAGCACCGGCUAACUACGUGCCAGCCGCCGCGGUAA
This 500-nucleotide ribosomal RNA is filed under the name uncultured bacterium. RNAcentral's name for it is "partial 16S ribosomal RNA". It matches the Rfam family "Bacterial small subunit ribosomal RNA", at positions 30 to 523 of the family's 1533-position model. The record is from RNAcentral.